UACGUAGGGUGCGAGCGUUGUCCGGAAUUACUGGGCGUAAAGAGCUCGUAGGUGGUUUGUCGCGUCGUCUGUGAAAUUCCGGGGCUUAACUCCGGGCGUGCAGGCGAUACGGGCAUAACUUGAGUACUGUAGGGGAGACUGGAAUUCCUGGUGUAGCGGUGAAAUGCGCAGAUAUCAGGAGGAACACCGGUGGCGAAGGCGGGUCUCUGGGCAGUAACUGACGCUGAGGAGCGAAAGCAUAGGUAGCGAACAGGAUUAGAUACCCUGGUAGUCCAUGCCGUAAACGGUGGGCGCUAGGUGUGGGGGUCUUCCACGACUUCUGUGCCGUAGCUAACGCAUUAAGCGCCCCGCCUGGGGAGUACGGCCGCAAGGCUAAAACUCAAAUGAAUUGACGGGG
This 397-nucleotide ribosomal RNA is filed under the name uncultured bacterium. RNAcentral describes it as "partial 16S ribosomal RNA". It matches the Rfam family "Bacterial small subunit ribosomal RNA", at positions 524 to 918 of the family's 1533-position model. The record is from RNAcentral.